Non-coding RNA from Nothobranchius furzeri (turquoise killifish), 2690 nucleotides. NCBI's taxonomy places the organism in Eukaryota, Metazoa, Chordata, Actinopteri, Cyprinodontiformes, Nothobranchiidae. The record is from RefSeq and is a predicted model, not a curated record.
AUCUAUAUUCGUAUUUUAUGUCACUGCCACCUUUAAACUAGCUGAGUUUACCGAAGUAGCUAGCUAACUAUCAGUUUAACAUGUAGCAUGUACUGUUUAACCAUGAAAUUUAAAUGUAAAAUACGGUAAAAUAAUUAAUAGGGCAUAUUUAGAUGGGUAAUAGGGUAAAACCCAGUGCAUUUAAGAUAAAAAUGGGUUGAAAUAUGACGGAGCGCUAAGAGGGAGACUUCUGUGUCCAUUCUUCCAUCCGGUAAUCCCCAGCGGUCAGGCCGGGCAGCCUGACUGAUCCGGCGCCUACUUGCUGCGCCUAGCUGCUGCGCGGUCUGACCGCUCGUGGAGUUUUUCAUGUCUGACUUUAACCGCAUCUACCGUAUUACGGCGUGAGCGCAACAGCGACAACUUAAUAUCGAUGUGUAAGCAGCCUGAGUGGUAGGGUGUUUUCAUCUGAACCCUUAAAACCUCCAGCAGGCUAUGCUGCACUAUUGACGUGUUAGCGCGCGGCGCUAACAACUUAGCAACGUGACAUGUCUCUGAGAAAGCGUAAAACACGGACGCUUCUUCUGAAGCGGAAAAUAACACCUCUUCUUAAGCAGAGCAGGAUGUCGCCUUGGCUCGUUCACGGCCGAGCCGGACUGAGCUCGAUAACAUUGACCAAGCACAGCCACUGGGCCGUUGUAGCUGCCACCAGGCCUGCUGAAGGAACUCCAGCGGGUUUCAUCAGACUCGUAAAGUUUCUUGUUUUUGCUGGGGAUUUCUGUAUUUUACCGCUCCCUCCUGCAGUCUUCCCCUAUUAAAAUUUAAAAUGUGUAACUUUAUGUAUUGUGAUGAAUGACUAAUAUUCAUGUAAAACUAAAACGUUAGGCAUUUAGGGGGAAAAAACAAAAUAAUAAACAUUAUACAGAUGUCAAAUAAAUCAAACUGUAAUUAAACUAUAUAUUUUCAAAGUCAUAUAGACAGCAUGAUGGUUUGUGUGAUCCGCGCGGUUUCACUUACACCCCUUUAAUGAUCAGGCUGUUUUUUAUUAUUUUUAUCAGCUGAUAGCAGUUAAAAUUAUGGUAAAAAAUACUUUUAUCUGUUUUUGAUAACUUAAUGCCCAGGAAGAGCAUCUUCCUGGGCAUUAAAUAUAACCCAAAUGUUUUAUUAUGAGCAGAUCUGAUGAAGGUUUAGACAAGCAGUCUGCAAAGUAAAACUUGUUUAGAGUCCAAACUCUUACUAAAGCUUUUAAAAAGAAAAAAUGGUUGAAUUUUGAGAAAUAUCCACAACAGGGGAGCGAGACCUCUGAAAAAUGUAUAUUUUCUCUGAAUUCAUAGAAUAAUGUGAAGAUUCUGGGAAAAGUUGGGAUUCUGAGAUUAAAACGUAAAUCUUUCUAAUCAUAAUUCUGGCAGUUUUUGUGUCCUUCUGCUGUGGAAAGUCGUGCAACAUGAAGAUACUGAGAAGAUGCUUACAACCUGUAUUUUUAUUCCAUCCAUAAAUAAAAUCAUGAGCUAUUUUUUUAAUCCAAAUUUGAUACAAAGGGCCAUCGUUGGUUCCAGACCCGUUCUAGAACAUUCCUCUAAUCUUAAAGUCAUCAUCAGUUUCUUCCUUUUAACAAAUAUUUAUUUGUUCAAAUAUUUAAUAUUUAUAACUGGAAUAUUUGUUCCUCCCUCUCCCACUGCAGUUAGUCCUGUCCUGCAACCCUGUUUUUGCAGCUUAGUGAAGCCAACCAUCACUAACCUGGGGGUGGUUUUGGACCCAGAGAUGCGGAUGGACUCCCACAUUAGCCAGGGAAGGACCUGAUUGGUGUCCAGAACCUGCUGAAGAAGCACCAGGCUCUGCAGGCUGAGAUCACAGGUCAUGAACCUCGCAUCAAGGCUGUCACCCAGAAAGGAGAGACCAUGGUGGAGGAAGGUAGAGCAGGUCUGGUCCUGACAUGUUUCUGAGGUGUCUGCAGGUUCUGGCUCACUUUUUUUGGGUCCAGGUCACUUCGCUGGUGAGGAAGUGAAGACUAAACUGUGGGAGCUUCAUGGACGUUGGGACACGCUGAAGGCCAAGGCGUCCCAGAGGAGGCAGGACCUGGAGGACUCUCUGCAGGCCCAGCAGUACUUUGCGGAUGCUAAUGAGGCCGAGUCCUGGAUGAGGGAGAAGGAGCCCAUCGUUGGAAGUCCAGACUAAGGGAAAGACGAGGACUUGGCCGAGGAUCUCCUGAAGAAGCACGAGGCCCUGAUGUCGGACCUGUCGGCUUAUGGCAGCAGCAUCCAGGCCCUGAAGGAGCAGGCCCAGUCCUGCAGGGACCUGAAGGCCAACGAGUCCCGCCUGAGGGACAUCAACAAGGUGGCAUCUGAACUGGAGUCAGAAGGUCUGAUGGCUGAGGAGGCUCCUAUGGUUCAGGCUCAGCAACAAGAACAUCUGGGUUCUGCUCCUGGAAAGGACGAAGCCGACUCUUAACACGGCGUCACCCUGGAAGACCGUACGGUUGGGCGUUCAGACGACGGCUAACUUUAAUUCCAUCAAGGUAAGAGGAAGCUCUUCCCUUCCUGUCUGAGCGAUCCGUCUCCAGGUUUCUUCGUCCGGCGUCCAGCCCGCUGGCGUCCACCUUCAUCUCACCUUCAUCUCAUCUCACUUCAUUUAUAGUGCAAUACUUUCACAUUAUCAUUUUCCCACACUUCUGUAUACCUGUAUUUUGUUGUUUUUCAAUAAAGAAUGACAAAUUA